AGUGAACGCUGGCGGUAGGCCUAACACAUGCAAGUCGAACGGCAGCACAGUAAGAGCUUGCUCUUACGGGUGGCGAGUGGCGGACGGGUGAGGAAUACAUCGGAAUCUACUUUUUCGUGGGGGAUAACGUAGGGAAACUUACGCUAAUACCGCAUACGACCUACGGGUGAAAGCAGGGGAUCUUCGGACCUUGCGCGAUUGAAUGAGCCGAUGUCGGAUUAGCUAGUUGGCGGGGUAAAGGCCCACCAAGGCGACGAUCCGUAGCUGGUCUGAGAGGAUGAUCAGCUAGACUGGAUGUGAGACACGGUCCAGACACCUGCGGUAGGCAGCAGUGGGGAAUAUUGGACGAUGGGCGCAAGCCUGAUCCAACCAUACCGCGUGAGUGAAGAAGGCCUUCUGGUUGUAGAGCCCUUUUGUUGUGAAAGAAGAACAGCAGGUUAAUACCCCGCUGUUCUGACGGUACCCAAAGAAUAAGCACCGGCUAACUUCGUG
Molecule: ribosomal RNA, 492 nt
Filed under: uncultured bacterium
Lineage: Bacteria
Description: partial 16S ribosomal RNA
Rfam family: Bacterial small subunit ribosomal RNA
Source: RNAcentral